GAUGAACGCUGGCGGCGUGCCUAAUACAUGCAAGUCGAGCGAACGGACGAGAAGCUUGCUUCUCUGAUGUUAGCGGCGGACGGGUGAGUAACACGUGGAUAACCUACCUAUAAGACUGGGAUAACUUCGGGAAACCGGAGCUAAUACCGGAUAAUAUUUUGAACCGCAUGGUUCAAAAGUGAAAGACGGUCUUGCUGUCACUUAUAGAUGGAUCCGCGCUGCAUUAGCUAGUUGGUAAGGUAACGGCUUACCAAGGCAACGAUGCAUAGCCGACCUGAGAGGGUGAUCGGCCACACUGGAACUGAGACACGGUCCAGACUCCUACGGGAGGCAGCAGUAGGGAAUCUUCCGCAAUGGGCGAAAGCCUGACGGAGCAACGCCGCGUGAGUGAUGAAGGUCUUCGGAUCGUAAAACUCUGUUAUUAGGGAAGAACAUAUGUGUAAGUAACUGUGCACAUCUUGACGGUACCUAAUCAGAAAGCCACGGCUAACUACGUGCCAGCAGCCGCGGUAAUACGUAGGUGGCAAGCGUUAUCCGGAAUUAUUGGGCGUAAAGCGCGCGUAGGCGGUUUUUUAAGUCUGAUGUGAAAGCCCACGGCUCAACCGUGGAGGGUCAUUGGAAACUGGAAAACUUGAGUGCAGAAGAGGAAAGUGGAAUUCCACGUGUAGCGGUGAAAUGCGCAGAGAUAUGGAGGAACACCAGUGGCGAAGGCGACUUUCUGGUCUGUAACUGACGCUGAUGUGCGAAAGCGUGGGGAUCAAACAGGAUUAGAUACCCUGGUAGUCCACGCCGUAAACGAUGAGUGCUAAGUGUUAGGGGGUUUCCGCCCCUUAGUGCUGCAGCUAACGCAUUAAGCACUCCGCCUGGGGAGUACGACCGCAAGGUUGAAACUCAAAGGAAUUGACGGGGACCCGCACAAGCGGUGGAGCAUGUGGUUUAAUUCGAAGCAACGCGAAGAACCUUACCAAAUCUUGACAUCCUUUGACAACUCUAGAGAUAGAGCCUUCCCCUUCGGGGGGCAAAGUGACAGGUGGUGCAUGGUUGUCGUCAGCUCGUGUCGUGAGAUGUUGGGUUAAGUCCCGCAACGAGCGCAACCCUUAAGCUUAGUUGCCAUCAUUAAGUUGGGCACUCUAAGUUGACUGCCGGUGACAAACCGGAGGAAGGUGGGGAUGACGUCAAAUCAUCAUGCCCCUUAUGAUUUGGGCUACACACGUGCUACAAUGGACAAUACAAAGGGCAGCGAAACCGCGAGGUCAAGCAAAUCCCAUAAAGUUGUUCUCAGUUCGGAUUGUAGUCUGCAACUCGACUACAUGAAGCUGGAAUCGCUGGUAAUCGUAGAUCAGCAUGCUACGGUGAAUACGUUCCCGGGUCU
Molecule: ribosomal RNA, 1372 nt
Filed under: uncultured bacterium
Lineage: Bacteria
Description: bacterial SSU rRNA
Rfam family: Bacterial small subunit ribosomal RNA
Source: RNAcentral